AUUAGGCGGGACAUGGAACAGUUACAGCUUACCGAGGACAUGACCCUAGAUAGGAAGGUCUGGAAGAGGCGAAUUACGGCAGAAGAGUAGGGCCAGAUUGGGUCGCUAGUGUAGGGAGUUACUUGGUGGGGGUUUUUUAUUUUUUUAUUCCUGUUAUGAUUCCGUAUUCAGUGUUCCAUGCUUAUUACGAAUCUGUGUGCUUUCCUCUGCUUUCCUCUGUUUUAUAGUCCGUAUGGGUGCCUUAUUUAUAUUAUUGUCAUCUGCUUCUGUGCUUUACUAUGUGUUUGUGUGAUAUCUUGUGCCUGAGCCGGGGGUCUUUCGAAAACAGCCUUUCUACUUCAUCAGAGGUAGAGGUAUGGACUGCGUACAUCUUACCCCCCCCAGACCCCACUAAGUGGGAAUACACUGGGUUUGUUGUUG
Molecule: long non-coding RNA, 420 nt
Filed under: Capsicum annuum
Lineage: Eukaryota; Viridiplantae; Streptophyta; Magnoliopsida; Solanales; Solanaceae
Description: long non-coding RNA (CANN_LNC021115)
Source: RNAcentral